RNAcentral lists this ribosomal RNA (253 nucleotides) under uncultured bacterium. RNAcentral describes it as "partial 16S ribosomal RNA". It matches the Rfam family "Bacterial small subunit ribosomal RNA", at positions 524 to 776 of the family's 1533-position model. The record is from RNAcentral.
UACGUAGGUGGCAAGCGUUGUCCGGAUUUACUGGGCGUAAAGAGCGCGCAGGCGGUCGUCCAAGUCGCGUGUGAAAGCCCCCGGCUCAACUGGGGAGGGUCACGCGAUACUGGUCGACUCGAAGGCAGGAGAGGGUAGUGGAAUUCCCGGUGUAGUGGUGAAAUGCGUAGAUAUCGUAAGGAAGACCAGUGGCGAAGGCGGGUCUCUGGACAGUUCCUGACGCUGAGGCACGAAGGCCAGGGGAGCAAACGGG